Molecule: ribosomal RNA, 433 nt
Filed under: uncultured bacterium
Lineage: Bacteria
Description: partial 16S ribosomal RNA
Rfam family: Bacterial small subunit ribosomal RNA
Source: RNAcentral
AACGAACGCUGGCGCCAUGCCUAACACAUGCAAGUCGAACGAGACCUUCGGGUCUAGUGGCGCACGGGUGCGUAACGCGUCGUAACCUGCCCUUAGGUUCUGAAUAACUCCCCGAAAGGGGUUCUAAUACCGGUGAAUGUCUUCGGACCAAAGAUUAAUCGCCUUUGGAUGGGCCCGCGUUCGAUGAGCUUGUUGGUAGGGUAAAAGCCUACCAAGGCGACGAUCCAUAGCUGGUCUGAGAGGAUGCUCAGCCACACUGGGACUGAGCCACGGCCCAGAACCCUCCGGGAUGCCCACGUGCGUCAUACUCGACACUGCGCGCAAGCGUGAUCCAGCAAUCUCAGGUGAGUGAUGAAGGCCUUAGGGUUGUACAGCCCCAUAACCCGGGAUGAUAAUGACAGUACCGGGAGAAUAAGGAGCGGCUACCCUCGAG